CUAGCCGUAAACGAUGGAUACUAGGCGUUGUGAGUAUCGACCCUCACAGUGUCGUAGCUAACGCGUUAAGUAUCCCGCCUGGGGAGUACGCGCGCAAGCGUGAAACUCAAAGGAAUUGACGGGGGCCCGCACAAGCGGUGGGGUAUGUGGUUUAAUUCGAUGCAACGCGAAGAACCUUACCAGGACUUGACAUGUCGCGAAUCUCAGGGAAACUUGAGAGUGCCUUCGGGAGCGCGAACACAGGUGGUGC
This 250-nucleotide ribosomal RNA is filed under the name uncultured Chroococcidiopsis sp. RNAcentral's name for it is "partial 16S ribosomal RNA". It matches the Rfam family "Bacterial small subunit ribosomal RNA", at positions 796 to 1044 of the family's 1533-position model. The record is from RNAcentral. Lineage: Bacteria; Bacillati; Cyanobacteriota; Cyanophyceae; Chroococcidiopsidales; Chroococcidiopsidaceae.